This is a non-coding RNA of Vigna angularis (adzuki bean), 113 nucleotides long. Lineage: Eukaryota; Viridiplantae; Streptophyta; Magnoliopsida; Fabales; Fabaceae. The record is from Rfam.
AGCCAUGAGGUAAACACAACAAACUAUUAUUUUGCCUUUAGUAAAGAAUACCGUGUGUUUUUUCCACUAGGUGGCAUACGCCUGUUUUUGAAAGAGUCCCUUUUGGAGGGUUC